UAGGGAAUCUUCGGCAAUGGACGGAAGUCUGACCGAGCAACGCCGCGUGAGUGAAGAAGGUUUUCGGAUCGUAAAGCUCUGUUGUUAGAGAAGAACGUUGGUAGGAGUGGAAAAUCUACCAAGUGACGGUAACUAACCAGAAAGGGACGGCUAACUACGUGCCAGCAGCCGCGGUAAUACGUAGGUCCCGAGCGUUGUCCGGAUUUAUUGGGCGUAAAGCGAGCGCAGGCGGUUCUUUAAGUCUGAAGUUAAAGGCAGUGGCUUAACCAUUGUACGCUUUGGAAACUGGAGGACUUGAGUGCAGAAGGGGAGAGUGGAAUUCCAUGUGUAGCGGUGAAAUGCGUAGAUAUAUGGAGGAACACCGGUGGCGAAAGCGGCUCUCUGGUCUGUAACUGACGCUGAGGCUCGAAAGCGUGGGGAGCAAACAGGAUUAGAUACCCUGGUAGUCCACGCCGUAAACGAUGAGUGCUAGGUGUUAGGGGCUUUCCGCGCCUUAGUGCUGCAGCUAACGCAUUAAGCACUCCGCCUGGGGAGUACGACCGCAAGGUUG
This 550-nucleotide ribosomal RNA is filed under the name uncultured bacterium. RNAcentral describes it as "bacterial SSU rRNA". It matches the Rfam family "Bacterial small subunit ribosomal RNA", at positions 355 to 896 of the family's 1533-position model. The record is from RNAcentral.